This 923-nucleotide ribosomal RNA is filed under the name uncultured bacterium. Its description in RNAcentral is "bacterial SSU rRNA". It matches the Rfam family "Bacterial small subunit ribosomal RNA", at positions 56 to 987 of the family's 1533-position model. The record is from RNAcentral.
UGCGAGUCGAACGAGAACGAAUUAUAGCUUGCUAUAAUUGUCAGCUAAGUGGCGCACUGGGUGAGUAAUGUAUAGAUAACCUGCCCUCUAGAAAGGAAUAACAGAUGGAGACGUCUGCUAAUGCCCUAUAUGCCUUUAAUACAUAAGUAUGCAAGGGAAACGCUUUAGUGCUAGAGGAUGGGUCUGUAUGGUAUCAGUUUGUUGGUGAGGUAAUGGCUCACCAAGACUAUGACGCCUAACUGGUUUGAGAGGAUGAUCAGUCACACUGGAACUGAGACACGGUCCAGACUCCUACGGGAGGCAGCAGUGGGGAAUAUUGCACAAUGGACGAAAGUCUGAUGCAGCAACGCCGCGUGGAGGAUGACACAUUUCGGUGCGUAAACUCCUUUUAUAUAGGAAGAUAAUGACGGUACUAUAUGAAUAAGCACCGGCUAACUCCGUGCCAGCAGCCGCGGUAAUACGGAGGGUGCAAGCGUUACUCGGAAUCACUGGGCGUAAAGAGCGUGUAGGCGGGUAUAUAAGUCAGAAGUGAAAUCCUAUAGCUUAACUAUAGAACUGCUUUUGAAACUGUAUACCUAGAAUGUGGGAGAGGUAGGUGGAAUUUCUGGUGUAGGGGUAAAAUCCGUAGAGAUCAGAAGGAAUACCGAUUGCGAAGGCGAUCUACUGGAACAUUAUUGACGCUGAGACGCGAAAGCGUGGGGAGCAAACAGGAUUAGAUACCCUGGUAGUCCACGCCCUANACGAUGUACACUAGUUGUUGUGAGGCUCGACCUUGCAGUAAUGCAGUUAACACAUUAAGUGUACCGCCUGGGGAGUACGGUCGCAAGAUUAAAACUCAAAGGAAUAGACGGGGACCCGCACAAGCGGUGGAGCAUGUGGUUUAAUUCGACGAUACACGAAGAAACCUUACCUGGACUUGACAU